GGCGAUCAGAUACCGCCCUAGUUCUAACCGUAAACGAUGACAACCAGCGAUUAAUCGGCGUUAAUUUAUGACCCGAUUAGCAGCUUCCGGGAAACCAAAGUUUUUCGUUUCCGGGGGAAGUAUGGUUGCAAAGCUGAAACUUAAAGGAAUUGACGGAAGGGCACCACCAGGAGUGGAGCCUGCGGCUUAAUUUGACUCAACACGGGAAAACUCACCCGGCCCGGACACCGUAAGGAUUGACAGACUGAGAGCUCUUUCUUAAUUCGGUGGGUGGUGGUGCAUGGCCGUUCUUAGUUGGUGGAGCGAUUUGUCUGGUUAAUUCCGAUAACGAACGAGACUCUGGCCUAUUAAAUAGACGGCGUAUUAAAAAGUAUGUCGUACUUCUUAGAGGGACAAGCGGCGUCUAGCCGCAUGAAAUAGAGCAAUAACAGGUCUGUGAUGCCCUUAGAUGUCCGGGGCUGCACGCGCGCUACACUGAAAGAAUCAGAGAGCGAUUCACCUGGUUCGGAAGAACUGGGUAACCCAAGUAAAUUCUUUCGUGCUUGGGAUAGGGAAUUGCAAUUAUUUCCCUUAAACGAGGAAUUCCCAGUAAAUGCGGGUCAUAAGCUCGCGUUGAUUACGUCCCUGCCCUUUGUA
Molecule: ribosomal RNA, 636 nt
Filed under: Doryllium sp. Konza IICD-57
Lineage: Eukaryota; Metazoa; Nematoda; Enoplea; Dorylaimida; Tylencholaimellidae
Also listed under: 1 other name
Description: SSU rRNA
Rfam family: Eukaryotic small subunit ribosomal RNA
Source: RNAcentral